Molecule: long non-coding RNA, 4681 nt
Filed under: Gallus gallus (chicken)
Lineage: Eukaryota; Metazoa; Chordata; Aves; Galliformes; Phasianidae
Description: lncRNA (ENSGALG00010010660.1)
Source: RNAcentral
AAAGGAAAGAAAGAAAAGAAAAGAAAAGAAAAGAAAAGAAAAGAAAAGAAAAGAAAAGAAAAGAAAAGAAAAGAAAAGAAAAGAAAAGAAAAGAAAAGAAAAGAAAAGAAAAGAAAAGAAAAAAAGCCCAAAUUAGGCAUCGGAUAUCACGAGUCACAGUGGUACUCAGAGUUCCUUCUGCUGCUACGAAUAGAAAUUACUGUUAAAAGUCUCUCUGAAAAGGUGUCUGUAAUUCAGAAUUUGUUUUAUGUGCAAUUUAAAGUAGCUUAAAUUUAUUUGUUCUCUUUCAGAAGUUAUACUUUAACAUGAAAAACACCGAAGAGCAUAAAUUGUUCUUUAUUUAACAAUUUUAGAUCUGGGAAUAUUUCAUUUAGAUCUAUUCUAGAUUUUACUGCUGGUGUUAACAUGCAGGUAGUAUUCUGUCAUUCUUUCAUUUUUGCAAUGAUCUAACAGUGAAUUUUUCACUGAUGCAACAUGCAGAUAUUAUUCUUUUAUAUGCAUUUCAGUAAAUAUUAAACAAGUAUAUAAAAUAUAUGUAAAGGGUACUGGGAAUUUAGGGCCUACUCUGUAUGCUUAUGAUGGAGGUUGUUGUCCACUCUUCCGAAAGAUGACACUCGAGAAUUCAGAUGACAUGGAAAAUACAGAGGUUUUAAAUAGUGAUACAGCUAAAAUGCAAAACUCAGCCAAUGACAGCAAUAUCCCUUCCAAACUCUUUUUAACAGACACAAACUACUAAAUCCUUUAACUACAGAAUUGAGUCUGACUGACAGCUGAAGAAAAGUACACCUGAUAUUUAGAGAUAAACACUCUCAGUGUCAUAAAAAGGUAUGCCAGAUCUAACCUUCAGCCUGGACUUAGAAUGUCACAGUACAAAGGAAAUAGUUUUGUUUUUAUUCUUUGUCAUUAACAGGCUGGCUGAGCCAGGAGUUGGCUCUAAGAGUUCCUUAAAAAUGAGAGCAAAUAAUGUAAUGUAUUUAUGUCCUAAUCACAAAAAUGCCAGAAUAGUCUGCAUACUUUGUUAAUAGUCCUAAUGCCUUUCCAGGAAGGACAUACAGAGUAGUCUCAUUGGGGUUACUCUUAGUGUUAAAAUCAUGGAUCUGUUAAAUGUGUUAGGAAAUUAUGAUCUUUACUGUAUAAUUAGUAAGAUCUCUUGAUUCUCAUUGCUUAAGAUCCCAGAAGCUGAUAGGAGCUACUUUCUCUAUUUUACAGUGGGUAAGCUUGGGUGCAUGAAGAUAGUCCUGCCAAAGGCCAGGCAGGGAAUCCUUAACAAAGCCCAGAGCCCUUUAAGUUUCAUCUGAGUACUUUAACUUCACAGCAGCAAUUUUUAUCACCCUUUUAAUUUCACUGAAAAAGCCUUUAAAUACUCAAUAUAAUAACAGGUGACUGAAGGAUGAUCUUGAGGUAACUUGAAAGGAGAAGAUUUUUCUGCUUUCCACCUUAAAAAAGCACGGGUAUAUUAAACAAUGAGAACUGACAACAAAGGUAAGCUAAAAGCUAAACAUAAUAAGACACUGUUUUCAGCAUUUCAAAAGAACUAAAUACAACACAUCAGCAGCUUCAAAAUCCUUUUGAACAAAUGCACUCAGAAACAACUAACUGGCAAACAAAGCUAUUAUGAAGAUGACAGUGUGGCCAGUGAUCUUUUGGCACAUCAACUCCAUAAAGUGUAGGCCUCUAGGAAUACUCCUCACAUUUCAGUAAGUAGAAAAGCAAAUUUAACAACAGAUACUGAGGUCAGGGUAUUAUAAUUUGUUGAUUUUUACAAAGUUUAAUAGAUGAGAAUGUCCCCAAAAUGAGAAGUAUAUCCCUUAUUUAUUGUUGAAGGGAUUUGAUUUACUUUAAAUUUUAAAGGAUCGAUACAGUGAUCAGAAUUUCAGAGUCCCAGUCACAAUACUUUAUAUUUAGAUUAAUUUUUAUUCUGCCAAAGCAAUAUAGAAGCAUCUUAAACAGCACUCAUAACAUAAGAUAGAUGUCCUGUACCCUAUCAUGUAUCAUAAUUUCUAAGUAAUUAAGCUGCUCUCAACAGACAGAAGAUCAUGCUAGUUUACGAAGACUACAAAGCAUGGUUCAAAUAAUACAUGGAAAUAACAACAUCCUUUGAAAAAUACAAGUCUUCUUUAGCUGCUGGUUUUGUGUAACUAUGCAUAAGAAGCUGUAUAGCAGAAAAAAAUCUUUCAGCCUCAUUAAUAAGGAAUGUCACUAAAAAAUAGGUAGGUAAUCAUGUCUCAUUAUCUUUCAAGAAUGUCACAGCAGAAUCAACACAGCUUCAGUGAGUAUACUGCUGGAUUGCUUCCCUUCUCAUAGCUUUCAGAAGGACUAUCAUUAUAUUUUCAGUAACAAAUCUUCACAAUUUGUAGGAUUGUAAAAAUGCUGAAUAAGAAUGUCCAUUAUUAAAAAGGAAGGAAUCAAAUUGAAUAGUUUUUCUAAUGUCAUAAACACCGCUGAGUCCACAACGUCCAUCUUCUAGGCUUUGAUUAAUAGAAGUCAUUAAAAACAUGCUUGAAUUUAACUUUCCUGAAUAGGAGGACUUUAAGGAUUAAUAUGGGCCUCUGGAAAUGAGAUACAAGAUGUUCUGAAGGAUGCUAACCUCUGACUGAACAGGACAGAAGACAACAAACAACAUAAUUAUCUUUAAUGUCACACAAGUGUGUAAUAUCACUCAAGCAUCUCUAGAGCUGUGCGGCAGAGCUGUGCCUAAAUCUGCUCUUCUGAUUCCCUAGUUUGGAUGAGAAAUUGUGUCUGCUCCUCAGAGAAAGAAAAAAAAUGAAGACUGGAGAAGAUGCAGUUAUCCCUUAUCCUCAUGAACCUCAUUUUAGCAGAUAAAAAGAUACUGAGUCUAGAGAGCAGAUGAGCUGGAUCCAUUACCACAUUUGUAUGACUUAUGGUGGUAGAACUGAUUAUGCCUUAUGGCACCAAAAUCUAGUAAUUCUUGCAGACGGCCCUUGUUCACGGUAAUCAGCCUAUUUGAGGGCAUUCUGCUUUUCAGUGUCCUUGUCAAUGCUAGCACAGAGAUAGAAACAUGCUGCUUCAUGCUCAGAGCUCUCUUGGGGCUUUAGUCUCUUCAUUAUGUGUAGUCCAGGUGUGGCCUAUGACAGAGACCUUUGAAGAAACGGUCUAUACAACUUUAUAUAUUUGUUGAUGGGAGGCUUGGGAAGUAGUUCAACAGGAGGAUUUGUGCCUGUAGAAGUUUAUGGGCAUGUUGGUAAUUUGCACCAGGACUUCUGAGCUGCUUGCUAAUAUCCUUGCCAAAAGUCAUGGAGCUCAGAUUUACAUGGAGUAUAUUUGUCAUUAGGAUUGGUAUUCAUCAAAUGUAACCUCGGUAUCUUGUAUCACUAAAUGUUUUGAUGCGAGUUGUUUUAAUUUUUCCAGAGAUAACCCUGGACUUAUCUUUAAAGCACUCAACAUCCAAUCUCCUCCUGUUUUGCCUUUGCUUAGCUCUCAGCUCUCUGUGUUGAGUGUGAUUGGUGACCUUUUUAAAGAAAGGUAUCAUCACUAAAAGUCUCCUCAUUGACAGCAUCCAUACUCUUAUGUUUUGUAGCUAAUGGAUUUUUUACCAUCUAAAAUAUUAUACAAAGUUUUGUCCCAGUAAAAGCUCACAUGCAGCUGUAAAGUGAUGUCUGCAGCUUAAAGGAGUGUCCCCUCUAAGAGUCGCUGGCAUAUGGGUUUUUAUGUAUUAGGGUCUGUAAAUGAGAUACCACUUGCAAAGAUUAACCAUGUUUCAGGGCUGUGUGCCAGAUGGUAAAAGUCAUAUGAGUUGUGGAGUCCUUAGAGAUUUUUUUUUUUUAGUUUGUUUUUGUUUAUCAUAGAGAAUAUGCUUCUGGGUUCAUAAAGUUUCAGCAUGUUCUUUCUAACGCGUCAUGGAGAAAGAAGUAUUAACUCUAUCCUGAAUCCAGGCCACCGACAGCUAUAAAAAUAGCCUUUAAAAGAGGAGGUAGGCAGCCUAUUUCCUGGGAGAAAAAAAUAGCGGUUUUAAAAUACUUUCUGUGUUGAUGCUAAAAUUAAUGGGUUGUUAUUGUUAUUCUCUGAAAUGAUCUAUUCAGAAGAUAAAGCAAUAUUUUUUGAAACGAAUGUAUUUAAAUACUCUGCUCACGCUGUUUGCCUGGUAAUGUAGUAUUGUUCUUACUACAAUGAACUACGCGUGCUUGGGUGUAAGCUUGCAUUCAAAUAGUACCACAGAGCAGCUUCCCCAGUCAGAUAUACAAAUAACUGGAGAUAUGUGAAAGCCAUGGUGAUGUGAGGCCACAGGCCAGGCAAGCCAAUGCAAGUCAUGGCACACAGCCAGCUUUAACAAGACUCUUCAGUGUACCCUGCUUGGGAGUAAGGCUUGCUGUGUAUGGUCUCUAGGAAGGUGAUGAACCCAUGAUUUUUAGCACAGAUAAAAAGGACACACCAUAAGUUAUCUAAUUGGACAGCAGAAUUUCCAUUUUCUUUGCUUGUGGAAAUUUACCUAACAACAACCUCCAUGUUGGAAAGCAGGCAGCAGCCACACAAGGUCGGUGGAGAUGCAGGAUGGAAGGGACCUUGAAGGCAGUGAGGCCCAGGCCGGCCUCGUGUGGGACGAACCGCAGCCCGUACCGCUUCCAUUGCCCGUAAUACGGAGGUUUGCCCUCGUCGCUGCGGUUUCGCUGCGGUUUCAGCCACCGCCGCGGAGCGCCCGGAGUCCGCUGGGGUCGGUCGGCAG